AUAAGAUAAAGCCAAACCUGCCGGACGACGGGGACGGAAAGCUACGGGUCUAUCGGAUAGCCGGGCUGCCUUA
RNAcentral lists this non-coding RNA (73 nucleotides) under Desulforhopalus singaporensis. RNAcentral's name for it is "GEMM cis-regulatory element". It matches the Rfam family "c-di-GMP-I-GGC riboswitch aptamer". Lineage: Bacteria; Pseudomonadati; Thermodesulfobacteriota; Desulfobulbia; Desulfobulbales; Desulfocapsaceae. The record is from RNAcentral.